GCGGAUAUAACUCAAUGGUAGAGUGUAACCUUGCCAUGGUUAAAGUUGCGGGUUCGAGUCCCGUUCUUCGCU
RNAcentral lists this transfer RNA (72 nucleotides) under Lympha mucosa. RNAcentral describes it as "tRNA-Gly". It matches the Rfam family "tRNA". Rfam says of the family: Transfer RNA (tRNA) molecules are approximately 80 nucleotides in length. Their secondary structure includes four short double-helical elements and three loops (D, anti-codon, and T loops). Further hydrogen bonds mediate the characteristic L-shaped molecular structure. tRNAs have two regions of fundamental functional importance: the anti-codon, which is responsible for specific mRNA codon recognition, and the 3' end, to which the tRNAs corresponding amino acid is attached (by aminoacyl-tRNA synthetases). tRNAs cope with the degeneracy of the genetic code in two manners: having more than one tRNA (with a specific anti-codon) for a particular amino acid; and 'wobble' base-pairing, i.e. permitting non-standard base-pairing at the 3rd anti-codon position. Lineage: Eukaryota; Rhodophyta; Florideophyceae; Batrachospermales; Batrachospermaceae. The record is from RNAcentral.